UUGCUUUGGCAGCAUCUAUACUAAAAUUGGAAUAAUAUAGAAAAUAUUAGCAGGCCCCCUACACAAGGAUGACACACAAAUUCAUGAAGCAUUCCCAUUAAAA
Molecule: small nuclear RNA, 103 nt
Organism: Sarcophilus harrisii (Tasmanian devil)
Lineage: Eukaryota; Metazoa; Chordata; Mammalia; Dasyuromorphia; Dasyuridae
Source: Ensembl